UUGACGAUGGGCAGUGGCUAUGAAGACGCAGCAGUAGCUGCGUCGACGGUGACUGGAUGACGACGUGACAACUAUGGAGGAUGAUGGGUUGUGGCUAUAGAUUUUUGCCACUGUUCGUAGUGACGACGAAGCAGACGAAGCAGUAGCAGCUGGGUUGUUUGGACGUCGAUUGGAGGUCGUUUGGAGUUGUUGUGAAGGGGUCGUUGUAGGAGGGUGGACGUUAGGACGAGCAGCCAUGUCGUCGUCAUUUGGCUAUGGAGAUGUGACGAAUAGAGUGAAGGGAUGUUCGCCAUGGCUGUGUGACGACGAUGAAGAAGAGGCAGUGGGGGUUUGUCUCCGGCGUGAGGGUGUCGUUUGGUCGGAAAAGAAGAACAGUAGUGUGAGGGUGGCGUCUAG
Molecule: long non-coding RNA, 396 nt
Filed under: Nicotiana benthamiana
Lineage: Eukaryota; Viridiplantae; Streptophyta; Magnoliopsida; Solanales; Solanaceae
Description: long non-coding RNA (NBEN_LNC029166)
Source: RNAcentral